RNAcentral lists this long non-coding RNA (1640 nucleotides) under Rattus norvegicus (Norway rat). Its description in RNAcentral is "partial HAfT6 variant X2". The record is from RNAcentral. Lineage: Eukaryota; Metazoa; Chordata; Mammalia; Rodentia; Muridae.
UGCCUCUCCCAUGGUUCUUUGUGACACUGACUGUGACUGUUUUCUCCAUGCACACUCUGUCUUUGGAUAAUGGGGUUGCUAUCCUGUUUUUCAUAUCAGGAUUCUCCUCUUCUGCUCGUGUGUUUAUGGAAAAUCAGCUCUCUACCGGGCUGUGUCUGGGGAAGUAGCUUUGGCCUCAGCCAAGCAGAGCCGAGUCACAGAGAGCAGUUCCAGGGCCAGGCGAAGUGAAUUCAAGCCCCUGGCUGGGGGAAGCGUUCGUUGGCCAUUUCUGGGAAAGAAUUCUUGAGGACCCCCACCCCACACGUUUCGAAAGGAGACAUAAUCAGCAAACGGCUCGAAAAGCAGCUAACUUAAGAGUAAAUAACGAUCAAGAGGUACCAUGGAAGAGACAAUGUCCUGUUGGCCAGCACAAUUAAAAUCAAUAUCACUGAGGCAGAAGACUCAGCGGCAGCUCGACUGUGUGUGGCUCCAACUCACAGAUGACUCAUGAAGAGAGAGGUGUAGUUCGGCCCAGAACCUCAGGUGUUGGCGUCUCUGUGGUGCAGAGGGAACGGCACAGCAGAGCAGCCCAAGUCAUGGUGGCCAGGCAGCAGAAAGCAGGAUGACUUCCUUUAUCACUGGGGUUUUGUUCUUGUCUGCUUUUCAUUCUGUGUGACUCCCAGGCUAUGGGCUGGCUCUGCUUACAGUGUGAAUAAGUGUUCCUUCUUGUUAAUUCUCUGGUAACUGCCCUGAAGUGUACUUGUGUCAAGGCUACCACACAGACCAUCAGCACUAACCCUCAUGAGAACAGCCACAGCCUGGCAGGGUGGUUGUGUUUGUGGAGGUGAUGGCAGUAGUGGUGUGUGAUUUCCUUACACACUGCUUGGUUCCCUAAUUCCUUAUCAGAAUCUCAUUUGUCUCCCUAAGUUCCCCUCAGUCACUUAGCUCGGCAUGCACACACCACAGCCUAAUGGGCGUGGUUUCAUCAGAGAGCAGUACAGGGGACAGCAGGCAACUGCAGGAAAGUGUGGUGACCUCAAAGCCCGGGGACACCUAUCAUCUAGUCGAUGUCUGUCUACGAUGCUCGGGACUCCCAACCUUGCUUGCAGACUUGGGUGGGUAAACGUUCUUGAACCAAUUCCAAAUGGGAGGGGGACUUUUUGAGAUGGGCUGAACACAUAAAUAAUCUUGAGGACAUUUGUUGAUGAUAUGGGGUCAACAUGAAAUUCUAAAUGGAGACUCUCACAGAAGAAUCCAGGAUGAUGAUGGCCGAUGAUCCCGUGGUCACCAUUGUGCUAAUGAGGGGCAGUGGAUCCUAAUGGUGGGGCCCACCUGCUGGCUUUUGUGUAGUCCUUUAUCUAGCAGCAUCUGGAGGAUGGGGUUGGAUGUCCCUGUCCAUUGGUCCUGCCCUAUGGUCCUGUCCGUCUAAGCCUCUGAGCCUCCUCUUCCACAGGGCCCUGGUGCAGCCAUGCAGGGACCCUUCAUGCCCAAGAACACAGACAAAUGUGGGAAAGCCCAGGAGCUAACUUCUUUGUCUUUAGGUCACACACACACACACACACACACACACACACAGGCCAAGGCAUUCAUAGGUGGAAGUUGCUAUGAGUUUGUGGUGACGCGCUCCUGAAUAGGAAGCCGAGGACCUCGGAGCAAAUGAA